CCAGUAAAGCCUUUUGGAAGAAGAGCCUAAUACCUUGCUUGCAGGGCUCCCAGCAGGAGCCUCUCACCAACCCUGCAAACUGAGUAUGAACAACUUGAUGAGGACUUCAGAAAAAGCACAACAGCUCAUACGUAAACGAUCUUCGUGCCUGGUGCUCUAUGGGCCACUCGAAAUGAUCACCAGAGACACUCAAGUUACAAACCAAGAAACUCCACUAGAUUGCCACUGCCUGCCCUCACUUUAUGUAAAGAUGCUUUCAGCGUGACAACUAGAAACCCUCUGGACUGGCUAUAUUCAGGACUCAGAAACUGGUUUUACAACUUGAUCCAAUCACUGGUCAUUAUUUUUCUUUUAAUUUCCAGAGAAAGGCCUUAUUUAUUACCUGGAUAAUUGAACCACAGGCCUAACUGUGAGAACACACUUGUAUCACCGCCUCCCGAAGUGAGUUUAACUAAAACGACCUAUCCUCAGAACUAAGACACUGGUUCAAGCAGACGGGACAAUUUAUCAGCUCAACUUUUAAAGCAAGAAAACUUCCAGGGAAGUUUCAGAAAAGGGAACCGUAGAGGCCAAGGGUAGGCCACCCCAAAAGGUGCCACUCUGGCAUACAAAUUAAAUAAAAAUUACUUAAGAAACAGCGGUUCAGAGACUCCUCUGUCACCCAGAAAGCCGGAAACACAUCUUCCAUGUGCAAAAUACCCUCCCUGUACUAAGGAAGUAAAAGGACAUCCUUGUCGCCAGAGAUAGGGACUUCAAAACAGAGAAAGCUUCAGAAACGAACCUGGUUACUUUUUUUCUAACCCUACCAACUCAGCCUAAAUUCUGUUUAGGAUUCCCUCCUAACUGAAGUUUCCAAACACCUGCUUUCUUUAUCCUGUCGAUUCCUCAUAAAUGUAUUGUCUCUGUGUCUCAAAAGAAGAAAAAAAUCCCUGCCUUGGUCAUUUCUUCAGGUCUCAAUACCAGCCACUGUGCACACAUCCUUGAUUUUUUUGUUUUUUGAUUUUUCCUCCUGUGAACCUGUUUUGUGUAAAUUUAAUUCUUUGGCUGGCUGAAAGACCUUGAAGGUAGAGGAAGAACUGUUCCUUCCCUACAAUCUCAAUGAGGUAGGCAGGACGAUGAUAAAAGAUAAAUACAA
Molecule: long non-coding RNA, 1135 nt
Organism: Acinonyx jubatus (cheetah)
Lineage: Eukaryota; Metazoa; Chordata; Mammalia; Carnivora; Felidae
Exons: 2
Source: RefSeq, a predicted model, not a curated record